RNAcentral lists this long non-coding RNA (4725 nucleotides) under Podarcis lilfordi (Lilford's wall lizard). Lineage: Eukaryota; Metazoa; Chordata; Lepidosauria; Squamata; Lacertidae. The record is from RNAcentral.
CUGUUAGUUUCUGCUUUCCUUCACUGUGCAGCUCUGCUUGUCACGAGACAGGUGUUUACAUUCCACAGUCUGUACUGUUGGAGUUUCUCACGGGAAAGGGAGACUGGAUGUGACGUACACUGGUUUCCUGUUUUUCACUGUGUGAUUCUCUCCGAGCUGUCGAGGAGAGAGGAUGCAUUUUCUGCUCUUGCAGAGGCAAGAUGUCUUUCUGUAAUAUACCAGCUUUGAACUGUAAAUAAAGCAAUAUAGAGUAUGUAGCACGUACGCCUCAUCCUUCCGCUGGGCACGAGACUCUGCUUAAAUCAACACGUGGUUAUGGGCUCCAGAGGUCGAAUCGGAGUGCCGGCAGAGGAUCGGAAUGCAGAGGGACAGAUCGGAACGGAAUCUGCUCUGCGCGUAGAAGUGAUUGAUGAGGUAUGUGCUACUGCUCCGGGCAGCCUGCCAGCUUCAAGUUAAUGGCUUUAUGGCUGGACUUUGAACUUUUAAAGCCGGUUUUGCCGGGAAUAGGCAAAAGGCUCCCAGGCACAAGUCACUAUGCUGGGGAAAUCGAAAGUAACUUUUAAGUGCGCCUUUGUAAUAAGGCAGCUGCAGCAGUGACGCAGCAAGAUUUAAAGCAGCAUAUGACGCUGAAGGCUAAUGCCAGAGUCAUGAUGGCCCUUCAGGAUGCUUGUGGGAUUCCUAAGCUCAACAAGAAAGAUUAUGCCGACUGGGUUCAGUAUGCAGAGGCAAUUCUGCGGAAAGAGGGUUUGUUUGAGGUGAUUACAGGAACCCCCCCAGUUCCAGUUACAGAUGCAUGGGAAGCUAAGGAUUCCAAAGCAAGGGGAACUCUUACAUUGAUAGUAUCCCCAGAAGAGCUCUGUCUAUUGCGUGAUAAGACCUCAGCCAGAGAAAUUUGGGACGCUUUGAGAGAGGCUCACUUAAGGACAGAAGCUGGAUCCACUAUGUUUUAUUUUAACAAGCUGCACAAUAUGGCUCUUGCUCAAGGUGGAGAUGUGCGUUUACAUCUGAUGAAGAUGCAAAAUCUGAGACAUGAGCUGCAACAGAGAGGACUCAACUUUCCAGAGGCUGUGUAUUCUUUCAUGAUACUACAAUCUUUGGGUUCAGGUUGGGAGUCUGUUGCAACCCAGAUUGCUGUGCAACCAACUGCUCAGCUGACAGUGGACUUUGUUACUGCCGUGAUUUUAAAUGAAGCAGAUCGCCGGGUGCUAGCUGCAUGGGCAAGGGGAGUCUUCACAGACGUCAUCCCAUAGUGCAGUGGAACCACCAGAUGGCGCCAAAGCUUUGAAGGCAGUGAAAUGCUACUCGUGUGGACGUCUAGGCCAUAUGAAGAGGGAAUGCAGACAUCCCAGGGCCAAGACAGAGCAGCGCAGCGAAAGCUCAUCGCGCGGAAAAGGCCGAGGCAAAGGCAAAGGUCCGGUGUCUAGGACAACGCAGCACAAGGCUAUGGUUUCACGCUUCACUCCAAAGGUUGCAGAGGUCCAGAAGACGUCUAGAUCUUUCUUCGUUGUUGAUUCAGCGGCCACCCACCACAUGUGCAACGAUAAGAGACUGUUUGUGUCUUUUACACCGCAGGAAGGUGCGAUUCACCAGGCGGAUGACCACACUAUUCCCAGUAAAGGCUACGGAACUGUUGUUCUUCACAGUUUGGACUUAUCGAUACAGAAUGUGCUUUACGUGCCAGACGCCAAACAUAAUCUGCUCAGCGUUGGACAGCUGAAUGAGCGGAACAUUGACGUUUCCUUCAAGAACAAGAAGUGCAUCAUCACAAAGAAAAAUGAUUAUGUAUUGCAUGCAGAAUAUGUUGAUCAUUUGUUUGUUUUGUAUUAUGAUGAUGUGGUGCAGGAUGACACUUGUUGCAUUGCAGGUUCUAACAAAAGUUUGCAUGCAGAAUGUAUUCACGAUUUUCAUCGAAAAUUUGGUCAUUUGCAUUUUGAGGCAGUAUCUAAAAUGCCUGCCUUGGUUGAAGGUAUGACUAUUAAACCCUGCAGGUACCACAUGAAGUGCAAAGCAUGCGCAGCAAACAAGGUGAAAAUGGCUGCGAAAGGUAAGGUGUCUAGUAGGAAAGCUACAGAACCAUACCAGGUUGUUCAUGCUGAUUUGGUUGGACCACUAGCGCCCUCUUUGGGUGGAAAUAGAUACUUCAUGGUUCUCAUUGAUGCAUUUUCUAGAUAUAUUUUUGUGUACAAUCUCAAGCAGAAAUCGGAGGCUUUUCCUAGGUUCAAGGAAUUCUGUGCUUGGUUGGAAAAUGUGCAUGGUAAGAAGAUAAAGACUCUUUUCAGUGAUCGCGGGGAAUUCACUUCUCAGCAGUUUGAAGCUUUUCUGACUGAGAAAGGAAUUCAACACGAUUUGUCUAGUCCUCGCUCGCCAUGGCAGAAUGGACUUGCGGAACAGGCAAAUCAGACAUUGCUUCAAGGGUUAAAAACCUUGCUGCAUGAUGCCAAUCUUCCAGAGAGUUAUUGGGCCGAAUCUCUCUCGUGUUUUGUUUACAGUUACAAUCGCCGGUUAUCUUCAGCGAUUGGUUGUACCUCUAUGAGAAGAUGUUUGGCAAGAAGCCAUACAUCAAACACAUGAAGAUUUUGGUUCUGACAUGUGGGUUCGCUCACCACAAAACUCCAAGUUAGACAAGCGUGGAUUGCAUGGUAUCUUUCUAGGUUAUCAGAAAGGGUCUUACAGAAUAAUGAUGACUGACUCUAAGACAAUUAAGCUCACGAGAAGUGUUGAGUACAAUGCAAAGUGGGGGAGAAUGUGGGAAUUUUCCAAUGUUAUCCUGAUGACGGUGAUGAGACUGAGGAUAGUCAAAAGCAACCACAACAGCCCACACCCACUGAUGAAGGUUCUGAGUCUGAAUCUGAAACUGAAUCGGGUGAUUCAGAGGAUUUCAAGAGUGCGAAAGCCUCUGUGCGACCCUCUGAAAGCUCUGAUCAAGAAUUGGAGGAACCAUUGUUCACAAUAGGUCGUUUUUCUCCUAAGAAGGAAGAGGAGAGUGUUGAAGACUUAAGGCUAAUUCGUAGGUCACAGAGAGCCACAAAAGGCAAACCUCCAAAGAGAUUUGCUGAUGAGUUUGCUAAGAUAGCAGUAACAGCUGUUAAAAGCUCCAAGAAGGUAUUUGAACCUUCAAGUUUCCAAGAAAUCCAGGGUUUGGAUUCAAAGGAAGCUAAGCCAUGGUUAAAUGCCAUGAAGGCUGAGCUUGAUUCCUUAGAAAGGAACAAAACAUGGGAGCUAGUUCCAGUAGUUCCAGGAAUGAAACUGCUUGGAAGCAAAUGGGUCUUCAAAGCGAAGACAGAUCAAAAUGGCAAGAUAGUCAGACACAAAGCCAGAUUGGUAGCCAGAGGUUUUGCACAGGUACCAGGUGAAGACUAUCACGAGACCUAUUCACCCACAGUGAGAUAUGAAAGCAUUAGGCUUAUGCUCAAGCUAGCUGCAGAGGAAAAUCUACACAUUAGUCACCAUGAUAUUAAUACAGCUUUUCUGUACGGAUCUCUAGAUGAAUCACUUUAUAUGCUUCCACCUGAUGGCGUACAGGUAAAACAGGGAUUUGUUUGUGCUCUGAAGAAAUCCCUUUAUGGUCUCAAACAAAGUGCACGGUGUUGGCAUACAAAACUCACUGAAGUAUUGUUUUCUCUAGGUUUUCAGCAAGGAAAGCUGAUCCAUGUGUAUUUGUCAAAGAGGAGGGGCAAAAGAAACUGUACUGUUUGUUUUAUGUUGAUGAUUUAUUAUUCUUUUGGAAAGAUGUUGCAAUGUACAAUAGCGCCCUAGCUCAACUGAAAGAGCACUUUGACAUGAAAGAUCUUGGUGAGGUAAACAACUACCUAUCUCUGGAAAUAGAGAGAGAUCAAGAUGGUAACAUUCUAGUACACCAGUCACGGAAAAUUGCUGAUGUGUUAAGCAAACUAAAUCUGAUGGAUGCUAACCCUGUAGACACACCGAUGACAACAGGUUAUCAGGUAGAUGACACUGAAGAAGCAUUUUCUGACACCACACUGUACAGGAGUGUGCUAGGCAAGCUAAACUUCAUUGCCAGAUGUUCAAGACCAGACAUUGCUGUUAGCUGUAAUUUGCUAAGCAGACAAGUCAACAAUCCUAGUGUCAAGGAUUGGAAAGCUCUGAAACGCAUAGCGCGGUAUUUGAAAGGCACUAUGCAUUACAGACUGAGAUUUAACAAUCAGAAGUCUGGUGGUCUUGAGAUAUUUGCAGAUGCAAGUUUUGGAAGUGACACUACAGACAGGAAAAGUACGUCUGGAGUUUGCUACAUGUACAAUCAGAGUCUGUUUGAUUGGUCAUGCAAGAAGCAAACAACAGUUAGCUUAAGUACUUGUGAAGCUGAACUGAAUGCACUGUCUUAUUCACUUAAGGAUUGUGAAUGGUUAGUACAAUUGUGCAAAGAUAUGAAAAUUCCUGUCAAAUGUCCAAUCCAGGUUUACCAGGACAACAAAGCAUGUUUGGCUUUGCUGAAGUCUGAAGGUUGUAAGCAAAGCACAAAGCACUUGCAAUUAAAGUUGCAGCAUGCUAGGGAAUGUAUUCAGAAGGGACUCGUAACGGUGUCCUAUAUGCCAGGUAAUGAAAUUCCUGCUGAUGUAUUGUCCAAGAUUGUAUCAAGGGAUCAACACUGUACCUAUGUGCAGAAGUUGGGUUUGUACUGAUAUUGUGCAAACACGCUGCCCAGUGAUGUUCACAGAAAGGGGGGGAUGUUGGUUUCUGCUUUCCUUCACUGUGCAGCUCUGCUUG